Molecule: long non-coding RNA, 276 nt
Filed under: Eutrema salsugineum
Lineage: Eukaryota; Viridiplantae; Streptophyta; Magnoliopsida; Brassicales; Brassicaceae
Description: long non-coding RNA (ESAL_LNC001502)
Source: RNAcentral
GAUAGAUCCAACUUCCACCGGAAGCUGGGAUUCCUUCGAUCCUCCAAUCAAAACCUGAUCCACUGUCCGAUCUCUGUCGCCAACCUCUAAAAGAGAGGCUGCGUUGUUCCCCGUAGAAUUUACCGUUACCACCUUUCCUGCUUGAAUUGCCUCCUCUACCAGUUCCUCCCCGUGAAUGGUCAUCGGAGGUUGGGGCGGAGGAGCCGCCAGAGCCGCCAUGAGUGCGGCCAAUGAAACUUUGGAGAAGCUAAAACCCUAGUCGCUUUUACGAUCGCC